Molecule: transfer RNA, 90 nt
Filed under: Chloroflexota bacterium
Lineage: Bacteria; Bacillati; Chloroflexota
Description: Chloroflexi bacterium (groundwater metagenome) tRNA-Ser
Rfam family: tRNA
About the family: Transfer RNA (tRNA) molecules are approximately 80 nucleotides in length.
Source: RNAcentral
GGAGAGGUGGCCGAGAGGCUGAUGGCGCCGCUCUCGAAAAGCGGUACCGGGGCAACCCGGUCGUGGGUUCAAAUCCCACCCUCUCCGCCA